AGUCGAACGAGAAAUCCUGAGCAAUCGGGAAAGUAAAGUGGCGAACGGGUGAGUAACGCGUGGGUAAUCUACCCUUAAAUUGGGGAUAACUCUUCGAAAGAGGAGUUAAUACCGAAUAAUACUCUGAUCCCAUUGGGGGUCGGAAUCAAAGAUGGCCUCUGCAUGCAAGCUAUCGUUUAAGGAUGGGCCCGCGUACCAUUAGCUUGUUGGUAGGGUAAUGGCCUACCAAGGCAACGAUGGUUAGCUGGUCUGAGAGGAUGGCCAGCCACACUGGAACUGAGACACGGUCCAGACUCCUACGGGAGGCAGCAGUGGGGAAUCUUGCGCAAUGGGGGAAACCCUGACGCAGCAACGCCGCGUGGGUGAUGAAGGCCUUCGGGUCGUAAAGCCCUGUCAGGUGGGAAGAAACAUGCUGAUGUGAAUACCAUCGGCACUUGACGGUACCACCGGAGGAAGCACCGGCUAACUCCGUGCCAGCAGCCGCGGUAAUACGGAGGGUGCAAGCGUUGUUCGGAAUUAUUGGGCGUAAAGCGCGUGUAGGCGGUCGGGUAAGUCAGAUGUGAAAGCCUUCCGCUCAACGGAAGAAGUGCAUUUGAAACUGCUCGUCUAGAGUACGGGAGAGGAGAGUGUAAUUCCCGGUGUAGAGGUGAAAUUCGUAGAUAUCGGGAGGAACACCAGUGGCGAAGGCGGCUCUCUGGUCCGAUACUGACGCUGAGACGCGAAAGCGUGGGGAGCA
RNAcentral lists this ribosomal RNA (736 nucleotides) under uncultured bacterium. RNAcentral's name for it is "bacterial SSU rRNA". It matches the Rfam family "Bacterial small subunit ribosomal RNA", at positions 60 to 770 of the family's 1533-position model. The record is from RNAcentral.